UUCCAGACUCCUACGGGAGGCAGCAGUGGGGAGUAUUGCACAAUGGGGGAAACCCUGAUGCAGCGACGCCGCGUGAGCGAUGAAGUAUUUCGGUAUGUAAAGCUCUAUCAGCAGGGAAGAAAAUGACGGUACCUGACUAAGAAGCCCCGGCUAACUACGUGCCAGCAGCCGCGGUAAUACGUAGGGAGCAAGCGUUAUCCGGAAUUAUUGGGUGUAAAGGGUGCGUAGACGGGAGUCUAAGUUAGUUGUGAAAUCCCUCGGCUCAACUGAGGAACUGCAACUAAAACUGGACAUCUUGAGUGCAGGAGAGGAAAGUGGAAUUCCUAGUGUAGCGGUGAAAUGCGUAGAUAUUAGGAGGAACACCAGUGGCGAAGGCGACUUUCUGGACUGUAACUGACGUUGAGGCACGAAAGUGUGGGGAGCAAACAGGAUUAGAUACCCCAGUAUC
This 448-nucleotide ribosomal RNA is filed under the name uncultured bacterium. RNAcentral's name for it is "partial 16S ribosomal RNA". It matches the Rfam family "Bacterial small subunit ribosomal RNA", at positions 329 to 794 of the family's 1533-position model. The record is from RNAcentral.